AUGGACCAGGACGAGAACCGAGACCUCCACGGUGAUGAUGAAGCCUGCACAUGGUCGAGCUCGAUGGAACAACAGUGCCUCAGUGUGGUGCAGCCGAGUUGGGCCACAACAGUAGUAACUUACCCAACUAGCAGCCCUGCAGCUCGCUGGAUCUCGCCCAAACCCCGCUCACCUUGCUGCUUGUGGCAGGGAAUACUUUUGUUGAGUAUUUUGAGGAAUGAAGAUCUGAUAAGAUUUUCACUUCCCGCCAUCCCAGCCUUCUAUCAUGCUUACAAGAUUUUUCUUUGCACGGCAGUAGCACCAGUACCUUGCUGCUAUUGGGAACAAAAGGGAGCUGUUCCAUGCACUGAAUCUGGGGAGAAAAUCACCUUCGACAUGUACACCAUCACCUUGGGCAUGCUUGUGGCACUACUGCUCAGCCUCAACAUGUCCUGGAGUGCCAUUAGCGCCGCCCUCACGCUCAUCUUUCUCGACUUCAAGGACGCUCGCCCCUGCCUCGAGAAGCUGUGGGUUAAUGUUGGUGGUUUUGUUCUACUUGGAUGCAUUGGUACCCCCAUAAUCGAGCGCAUGGAUGCAAUGGCAAGAAGAUCAUAUGGCUGUGCGCAUCAUCAAGCACACCACGGAGAUAAUCGACCUCCUCACCGAUGCAGUAGGAAUAAUGCAUCUAGAUUCGAGAUAGGUGGCUCUAGCUCUCGUGCUGCUCAGAAGCCUCGGAACACCAAGAAGAGGGCCCGUAGGGGCAAACUGUCGGAUUACAAUGAGGAUGCUCAUGAGGUGGUCCUCCCUACCAAAGCCACUCUUCGGGAGAAGUCUGCUGCUGCCAAGCAAUGUGCUGCGUUGCCAAUGCACAAGUGGAAGAUGCCGGACUGGCAAAAGGCUCGUUUUUAG
Molecule: ribosomal RNA, 888 nt
Filed under: Triticum aestivum (bread wheat)
Lineage: Eukaryota; Viridiplantae; Streptophyta; Magnoliopsida; Poales; Poaceae
Description: partial small subunit ribosomal RNA
Source: RNAcentral